AUCAACGGCCAUACCACGUUAAAAGCAACGGUUCUCGUCCGAUCACCGAAGUUAAGCCAGCGGCGGGCGUAGUAAGUACCGAGAUGGGAGACCGCUUGGGAACACUGCGUGCUGUUGACA
RNAcentral lists this ribosomal RNA (120 nucleotides) under Bemisia tabaci. Lineage: Eukaryota; Metazoa; Arthropoda; Insecta; Hemiptera; Aleyrodidae. The record is from RNAcentral.